UUAAAUUGAAGAGUUUGAUCAUGGCUCAGAUUGAACGCUGGCGGCAGGCCUAACACAUGCAAGUCGAACGGUAACAGGAAGCAGCUUGCUGCUUCGCUGACGAGUGGCGGACGGGUGAGUAAUGUCUGGGAAACUGCCUGAUGGAGGGGGAUAACUACUGGAAACGAUAGCUAAUACCGCAUAAUGUCGCAAGACCAAAGAGGGGGACCUUCGGGCCUCUUGCCAUCGGAUGUGCCCAGAUGGGAUUAGCUUGUUGGUGGGGUAACGGCUCACCAAGGCGACGAUCCCUAGCUGGUCUGAGAGGAUGACCAGCCACACUGGAACUGAGACACGGUCCAGACUCCUACGGGAGGCAGCAGUGGGGAAUAUUGCACAAUGGGCGCAAGCCUGAUGCAGCCAUGCCGCGUGUAUGAAGAAGGCCUUCGGGUUGUAAAGUACUUUCAGCGGGGAGGAAGGGAGUAAAGUUAAUACCUUUGCUCAUUGACGUUACCCGCAGAAGAAGCACCGGCUAACUCCGUGCCAGCAGCCGCGGUAAUACGGAGGGUGCAAGCGUUAAUCGGAAUUACUGGGCGUAAAGCGCACGCAGGCGGUUUGUUAAGUCAGAUGUGAAAUCCCCGGGCUCAACCUGGGAACUGCAUCUGAUACUGGCAAGCUUGAGUCUCGUAGAGGGGGGUAGAAUUCCAGGUGUAGCGGUGAAAUGCGUAGAGAUCUGGAGGAAUACCGGUGGCGAAGGCGGCCCCCUGGACGAAGACUGACGCUCAGGUGCGAAAGCGUGGGGAGCAAACAGGAUUAGAUACCCUGGUAGUCCACGCCGUAAACGAUGUCGACUUGGAGGUUGUGCCCUUGAGGCGUGGCUUCCGGAGCUAACGCGUUAAGUCGACCGCCUGGGGAGUACGGCCGCAAGGUUAAAACUCAAAUGAAUUGACGGGGGCCCGCACAAGCGGUGGAGCAUGUGGUUUAAUUCGAUGCAACGCGAAGAACCUUACCUGGUCUUGACAUCCACGGAAGUUUUCAGAGAUGAGAAUGUGCCUUCGGGAACCGUGAGACAGGUGCUGCAUGGCUGUCGUCAGCUCGUGUUGUGAAAUGUUGGGUUAAGUCCCGCAACGAGCGCAACCCUUAUCCUUUGUUGCCAGCGGUCCGGCCGGGAACUCAAAGGAGACUGCCAGUGAUAAACUGGAGGAAGGUGGGGAUGACGUCAAGUCAUCAUGGCCCUUACGACCAGGGCUACACACGUGCUACAAUGGCGCAUACAAAGAGAAGCGACCUCGCGAGAGCAAGCGGACCUCAUAAAGUGCGUCGUAGUCCGGAUUGGAGUCUGCAACUCGACUCCAUGAAGUCGGAAUCGCUAGUAAUCGUGGAUCAGAAUGCCACGGUGAAUACGUUCCCGGGCCUUGUACACACCGCCCGUCACACCAUGGGAGUGGGUUGCAAAAGAAGUAGGUAGCUUAACCUUCGGGAGGGCGCUUACCACUUUGUGAUUCAUGACUGGGGUGAAGUCGUAACAAGGUAACCGUAGGGGAACCUGCGGUUGGAUCACCUCCUUACCUUAAAGAAGC
RNAcentral lists this ribosomal RNA (1556 nucleotides) under Escherichia coli. RNAcentral describes it as "bacterial SSU rRNA". It matches the Rfam family "Bacterial small subunit ribosomal RNA". Lineage: Bacteria; Pseudomonadati; Pseudomonadota; Gammaproteobacteria; Enterobacterales; Enterobacteriaceae. The record is from RNAcentral.